Bos taurus (domestic cattle) is the source of this 455-nucleotide long non-coding RNA. Lineage: Eukaryota; Metazoa; Chordata; Mammalia; Artiodactyla; Bovidae. The record is from Ensembl.
GGUAGCUCAUGAGCCAUAUCCAACAUAUUUUGUUUGGUUCACACAGUGUUAAUUUUUUUUUUAAUUGGCUGCCAACAUUUUUAAAAAUCAAGAGAUAUCUCUUAAAUUUUGUAAUUUCUGGCUUCCCUUGAAAAAUCAGAAAAUUUGGCAGUACUCAGCCUGUGCGCUCACAUGGUUCCCAGCUGACUUCAUCUGAAUGGCAGUGACUUCAUUGGCUCAGGCUGGUGGUCAGAAUAAGGAGAAGAAGGAGAAGAAAAGGAAGAGGAGGAGGAGGAGAAAUGCCAAUACCAGGGCUUUGAUGGGAAAUCCAGAAGAAAGAAUGUGUGAGGGAAGAAGAUGACAUCUGUGCCUGGCCAACAAAAUCCAAAGAUUAUUCCAGUGAAAACAAAAGGAAGGCGAGACUGAACUUUCUAGUUCAAGCUGUUGGCAGGUCGCACAGGGCUGGAACUGCGGCU